UUAAAAGGCAAAAAUGACUCAUUCUCAGUAGUUUUGAGUGGAGCUGGCUCAACCCUACCCUAGACGUCAUAGCUGGCAGCAGCUCCUGGCAGAUACAGGUUAUUAACUUUCAAGUGAAGCACUAGUGAAAAGCUCCCAGCUCGGCACCCCCUCUGUCCGUGAUGCAUCGAUCAGAAGGCUCCGUGGGAUACAGGAUGAUCUUGUGUAAGGAUGGAUCCGAUGGAUUCAUGAGGAGAUGUCCGGGGAGAACAUCGGCACGGAGCACUGAUGUGACCUGCAGACAUCACAGGUGCACAAAACAUAGCCCCUUUUUACACAGUGUCUGGGCAAGAUUUAAUCUGGUAACAGAAACCUCGGUGAUGUGGUUCUUAAAAAUAAUCAUGUUGCUGAUUGACAAAAAAUAAGAUAUUUUGCUCUCCAACAUUCAUUUUAAUGAUGCUAAUACUGGCUUGGCAUCUAGCUGAUCACAUAAUGGACUGAUGGAUUUAUUACAUUUGACUUUAUAGAAAUGAUUUUAGAGAUUUGUGCUUCCACCUCCCUGAGUCCACCCCUGGAACACUGACAUAGUUGUGGUGUAUUUCUUGUCUGAAACUUACAUAGCUGGGUUCAUUUCAAGUUACAAAGCCAGAAAGUGUUUUUAAAAUCUAAUUGUCCACUACCUGCACUGCCAGUUUGGUUUUUGGACUCCACUCAGGACACUGUCAUUGCUCGUGUCUCAUCCACAUCCGCAUUGCCCAGGAGAGAUCAGCUCUUAAACAGAAAAGCAGUAAAGAGCUUCCUGUGCAUGAGCUGGUUAAUUGUCAUGGUAGUGUGGUAGCAUUUUAGUAAAAUACCACAUCCUUCCCUGAUAUUCGAACCCUACCAUGUCUAAAGGUAUUCUACCCUAGAUUUUGAACAAGUCUCAUUGUCUGCCAUCCAACUAAGAGAACUUCAGGCUCCUCUGCCUUUCCCUUUCUCCAGCCUAUCUCCUCAGCAAAUGUCAUUAACCCCCUCUGUUUUAACUGCCAGAAUUACUGUUAAAUAUCCACACUCUUUCUAAUUCCAUUGGGAUAUCACCAUAUCUGUACAUCAGUUUGGAUUUAGAAAAUGGGGGAAGCAGAAGAGCUGGGUUCUCCUUCUGACAGCUCAGUUCUAUAUUGUGUUCAAAUCACAAAGGUGUGACUGAUUCUCCUUCCAUCUUCUCUGCAGGAUGGUGUGGAACAGCUGAUCCACACAUUGGGAGAGGAAAUGGGUCAUUAAGGGUUUUAUCUCAUGUACAUUAAGGCUCCCCUUUCCUUUCAGAAUGUGAACACUGGCUCUGGGUCUCCCACACAAUAUCCCAAAUUUAACCAGCCAAAUUAGCUGCUUGGCUGGAUCAUGAGCCUCUCUCAGCUGCCCAACAGGUUCAACAAUAGCAUCAGUUUACUGAUUUACAGGUUUAUAAUUUAAUUUUUCCAAAUAAAUAUAUUUUUGAGUGUUUGCAAGCAAAGAAGCUGGCUCUUAAAAGCCUUUGGGACAGAUACAGUUUUCCUCAUAAUUUAGAUGAAGGCUCAAAUUAGAUUAGUUCCCUUUAAGAAGGCCCUUAAAUACAUAUUUUGCUAGAAGCAGCCAUGUGAUACAAGGUCACUUACUGGUUUUUUUUUUUCUUCUUUGAUCCUCUGUAACAGACUCAUGUAAAUAGGAAUGUCUACCAGCAAAAUGAAAUAGUAGCAUAAAAAUGCAGCUGCACCAGAAUUGUUAUCAAAUGGUAAGAAAAAAACUGAAGUGGCAGAUGAGGGGAGAAGAAGAGAGAGAAAAACUACAGUUUCAGUGAUAACACCUCAGUACCCAUUUCUGAUGUCUCAGGUAAAAAGAGAAAUACAUACCUGUUCAGAAGAACACAUAUUUUGUUUUUCUUUAAAUUGGUGAAGUCUUCAGAGUGAAAGUGAUGAUUCCUUCCUACCUUUGAUAUUUUUAUCAAGAGAAAUCAUAGUGCACCAGUCCUUUGUAACAGCCAAGUUAUGUAUCACUCCUUGAACUUGACAGCUGCUCCUGGUAAUAACCUCACUUAAGUAGAAUGAGCAGCAGCAGACCUGCAACCAUACAAAGUAAAGGCUUAUUCCUACUAUUAAAUUAAUAGGUUGUCCAAAAGUGUAACAGCAUAAAUAGCUCUGUUAUUUUCCCUAAGCAGGUCCCAAUAUGGUGCUCAACAUGUUUUGACAUCUCACCAUGCAUUGAAUUGGUUACCAUCUGUUUGACAUUAUUUUGUUAUAAGAGUAGGGGUUUCCCUUUAUUUCCUCAGCCCAAAUUCUCUCCCCUCUUGCUGUUGCAUUGUGCUCCAAGGUGACUAUGUUCCCAUUGCUUGUCACUGUAGCAUCCUUCAGGCUUGCCUGAGGUCUAAGAUACCACAUAAAUGUAAAAGUAAACAAGCAGGCAGGCAGGUACACCGGCUUUUUGCCAAGAACCUGGUGUUCAGAUCCUCAUCCUAACUAACUUCACCAUAUUUUAAUGGGCAGAGAGCUCCCAAGUCCCCCCCAACACCAUCAGGCUGUGAACUUCUGUAUUUACAGCAGCAUUACUCGGAAAUAUCUUCAUCUGUGGAGCAGUGAGACACUUGUGGCUGCUCCCAAGGUGCUAAUGAAUUUAUAUAUGGUUAGAAAGCAGUAAACCAGGCUUGUGCUAUCACAGUGCUAAGAGCUAAGUAUGACCAAAAGCCUAUUUUUUUUGUCCUACCUUGCAAAUCUCUCCAGCUCUGUUCUUUCCAAAUUGUAAUGCUGCUCAUGCAGAUGGGUCUGCAGGCAAGGCUUCCAGGGGAUGUUGGCCCCAGAGAUAAAUCACGCUCUUCAGCAAGGCCUUUACCAUAGCUAAUCUAUAAUCUAUAAUUCUAUAUGAAAACAAAAAAUUAGCUUUAUCAGCUCUAUCCCUUCCUCUAACUCACCAAUAUUUAAAAGAUCUUGUAAUAAACCAAGUUCUUUCUUCAGCCCUAACCCUGAUCACACCUGGGUUACCACUUUGUGUUUCAAAAUAAAGGAUUUAACUUGGCUGAUACUGUCAUAAACCAUUGUAGCUCUCACCUUUGCUUAAUGGGACCUAAAUAAUCCCUAGAUCCCUGACACAUUUUGUUUUACUUUCUUUCCCCAAACUAUCACAAAGUAUCCAACCUGACAUAAUAGUUAUACAUACUACAGGGGACAGGAAUAUUUGCACAAUACCUAUUUGGGAAGAAGAGUUAUGGAAGAGGGAAGUAAAUUCCUUAUCGAAGAUAUGAAGGCAAAGACAAAUAAUCGCCAGGAAAACAAUUACAUUGUCUUUCCUUCUGCAGUAUUUUUAAUUUCCUCCUGAGAAUUUUUGGAAAAAGACUACUAUGCUGUCAUCCUCCUGGGAUAAGCAAAAAGGAAAUGAAACUUUAAAAGACCUGAAAGGCUGUUUGGUGUUUCUUCCACAGACUUUCACUAGAAGGUAGGCGCAGAGAUAAUAUUCUUCAAGGUUAUUUUGAUUGAAAUAUUAAAGGCCUUUUUUGUUUGUAUUAGCAAUAUGCUAAUAAUUGUAUUAUACAAGUUCACUGGGGGUUUUUUAUGCAUUGCUUCUAUUUUCUUUAUAUUUACAGAAGUAAAAUCCAUUAAAAUACUUUUAAAAACACAUGGCCCUCUUAUUAGGUAUGUAGUUGUCAUCUAUCUUUUGAUUUAUUCAUAAAAAUGCAAACAGACAUAUGUGAUGCUGCUCUUCAGACCAAAUCCCAGUUCUGAGGAUUCCUCAUUCCAGCACACACUGCUCAGUUCUGACCACACUCUCCUAACAAACUGUUGAAUUCAAAUGUUGAAUUUCCCUGUAAGCCAAAACAUAAUCAUGAUAAACUUCUGGUGACCAAAAUGAAAUAGUAAGAGAAUUGGGUCACUAAGAAUCCUUCUUUAUGAGCAAACUGAGCAUUUAACCACAUGAAAGUGAAGCGCCUUUUUUAAUCCUAAUUGUCUUCUUCAUUUUUUUUUAUAUUUGCCUAAAACAAAUCCCUCAUUACUUUCCAGAGAAAUAAUUUAUUAACUUGUAGAUGCAGUGAAAAGCAAAUGAUGUUUCAUAUAUCUCAGCUUCAGGCUUCCUUUGUGCUAUCACAGGAACACUCCUGAUUCCACAAAAAUUAUUUUAUAGAAAGCAAUUUAUUAAACCUCACGAUCUGUCAAGACACAUGAAUAUUGAUGUGCUCACAUUAACAUCUCCUGGAGCAGCUGAAAACUAAAUUUCGCAUGACUUAAUGGGAAUUACAUGUUGCAGAGCAACAGGUGACAAGAGCUUAAUUAAAGCAAAACUGAUAAAGUAGCUGAGCCAUUAUAAAAAAUGUUUUGUUUUAAAUGUCCUAAAGAACCACUUGCAUGUUUUCAUUGAUGGGGAAGGGAAAGCAACUCUGGUUUACAAGAUAAAACCUAGAACAGGACAGGUGCCACUUAUCAGAUGGAAACUGCAUCUACCGUAACACUCAAUUACUUUGGAAUUUAGAUAGAAUAAUCAUGUAAAAAAUGGCCGUAUCCAAUUAUAUUUUACUUAGAUUCCAAAAGAAAAAAAGAACAGAAACACCUUUAUGGUGAAGAUACAGAAUUCCUUUGAGAGCACAAUUAAAACUUAUUAUUAAAAUUUAAUCAUAUGUUGGUCCUAGGGUGAAUGAAUUCUAGAUGUUCACAGCAGGACUCUUUGCCUUAAAUUAACAAAUCCACAGAAAAUACACCCUUUCCUUAAAUACAGCAAUAAUUUGCUUGUUUGUGGGAUUGGGCAUCAGUGCCCAGAUAUUUUAUUAGAAAAACAAAUCCCACCGGACUGAAGUAUCAAAAUUUAGUAUGAAAAUAGAUUAAACAAAGUAUGUCUGUUAAAAUUAUGUCAGCAUUUAAAAGACAAACAAACCCACUCCUUAUUAACUCUGAUGAUUUAAGAUACAGAGGUAGACUUGGAUUCUUUGUGUAAUUGAACUUGAAAGAAAGUCUGUCUUUUUCCUUUGAAGAUUUAUUCCAAAAAUGCCAGUAUCCAAUAAUCUGUGCUCUGCAGCUCUAUAGCAUAGUGGGCAGUGAGAAUAGGGUAAAAAAGAACAAUAGUAGCACUUUGUGCAGAGUAUAAAUAAAAGCAUCAGAUGAGGCAAUGACAGUUUUAAUGUCAAAGGACUCUUCCAGGUAAGACUAAAAGAAAUUUAGAUUUGAUUGCCUGCCUAUUUUUCAAUCUGGAAUCACGAUUUUUGUACUUUACGGAUUUUGGAUGUUCUUGCUCUGAGUGGGUGUGUUCAUUCCUGUCCUGAAGAACUCAGCAAUGACAGCCUACAUGUUACUUUAUUUAAUUCUUCUAGAAUUAGUUCUAUACUGUUUGCUUGGAGGCCAAGAAAUAUUUUACAGUGACUAUUGUGGGAUUCUCAUUUUUAAACAGCUUUUCCAUGUUAAGAAUUGUGAUGAAUAAGUGAUUAAAAACACCGACAAACACUGAAGUAAUUUAAGGUUCAUAAAGGAAGUGAAUGACAAUUUCUGGCUGCUUUGGAGGUCACUGCAUGGUCAAAUUGCUCUUUUUGGAGUGCUCGUCACCAUUUCUCAUGGUGAUUGGCCUAGCUCACAUUGUUUUCUCACACUUAUAAAUUUCCUUUACUACCUGGAAAGGAAAGGCUCCAAACCCAGUAUAUUCUUCCUCAAAAAUAAGUUAUGAAGGUGGGAAACUGUUGCAAUGGUGCAAUGUUCAUGGUCUGCCAAGGAAUUGCAUUUAACCAUUUUUAGCCAAAGGCUGGAUACAAAAAUACAAGUCUUGAAAGAGGAAUGGAAACUCCAUGUGAAAGAGUUUCUGUGGAAUAAACAUUACCUGAAUAAAAAAUAGCUCUAGGCUACCUUUUUUCUCCCCCCAUGUUUUUAAAGUAUUGCAGGUCAACUUUUGUUUAAAAAUAACUUUUAAAUAAAAGGUGGGUUUAUGCUACUAUUUCAGAUUCCUCUAUAAUUGAAUUAAUUACCUCAGUACUAAGGUAGAAUAUUUUCUACUUUCUGCUCUUCCCACCACUUAGCUCUCCAGUUUUCCUCAGAGCAAUGGAUCUUGUGUAUUGCUUCUCUGAAAUGUGAAAUGGAUCAGAUGCAGCAUUAAUUAAUUGUGCCAGUGGAUGAGAACAAUUAAUAGAUCCUUGGAAAUGAGGGGAGAGGUGCAGACUUGUUGGCGCACCCCACACAUUACAUCUUAAACCUUUUAAGCUUGAAGCAGAAAGUAGUCAGCUUUUCAUAUCAAAGAGUUAUCCAAAAAAGCUUAAUAGCCAACCUCAAAUGACAAAAAACAACAAUAACUAAAACCAAAAAUAUAUCUCAAGUAAUUGUUAUUUGUUAACAACCUUUCUAAAGCAGAACACCAGCUACCACUUAAAAUCCUCCAGAAGACAAUGUUUAAAGCAAUGGAGGAGGCUGGGUUCUGCAUCAACCUAUUCCACCAUGAACAGAUACUACGAAAUAAAGAUUAUUUAGAAUACUGGAUGCUAAAAGAUGCUGGAAUAAAAGAGAUUUGUACACAG
Long non-coding RNA from Corvus hawaiiensis (hawaiian crow), 6463 nucleotides. RefSeq lists it as uncharacterized. NCBI's taxonomy places the organism in Eukaryota, Metazoa, Chordata, Aves, Passeriformes, Corvidae. The transcript is spliced from 2 exons. The record is from RefSeq and is a predicted model, not a curated record.